RNAcentral lists this long non-coding RNA (933 nucleotides) under Manihot esculenta (cassava). Its description in RNAcentral is "long non-coding RNA (MESC_LNC007450)". Lineage: Eukaryota; Viridiplantae; Streptophyta; Magnoliopsida; Malpighiales; Euphorbiaceae. The record is from RNAcentral.
CCAGACUGAGGACAAGAGAGAAGCUUGUGCACCCUGAUUAAUAAAAUAACUAUGAAAACCUCAUUUUUUUUAAAAAAGAAGUUUCAGCAACAGAGGAAGAGAAGAAAAGAGACAAUCCAACUGAAUCAAACAUUUAAUGUAAUGUACAGAGCUUAUCAUUCCUUGGGAAAAAGGGAAAAGAAAACGCAUGAAGAAAUUUAAAAAGUUAAAAUUUCAACAUUGACUCCUCAUUUGCAGGCUACUCAAAAUCUAAAUAAAUUGCAGAAGAACCAUGAUCAGCACAGAUGUACAUUCCCAGUGAAGCACAAUACAUCAAGAUCCCAUCCCAAAUGAUUAGAUCCAAUACAAUACACAUCACAGAUCCAAGAGUGAAAAGAAUUAUCAAAAUCCAUUAGAAGGAAAGUAUCACGAAUGUGAUUCGCAAUAACAUUCCCAGUUCUAGCUUCUUAAAAAAAUAGAUAUAAGUAAAAUUAAGCAAGAAAUGUGAAUUAAUCAAAGCUAAAUAGCUGAACACAACAAAAAAUACUUCACAUUAAGCAACAGAUCUAAACAGAAACAACAAAUAAUGAGUUGGAUCAUAGACUAACAACAAAAAAUUAAAACUGCAGCAGAUCACAACAAAGAGAAAGAAGAAUUGACUCACAAAUCCAAGAGAGCGAGAGAGAGCGAGCGAGAGCGAGAGAGAGCGAGCGAGAGCGAGAGAGAGCGAGCGAGAGCGAGAGAGAGCGAGCGAGAGCGAGAGAGAGCGAGCGAGAGCGAGAGAGACCGAGCGAGAGCGAGCGAGAGAGAGCGAGCGAGAGCGAGAGAAACCGAGCGAGAGCGAGAGAAACCGAGCGAGAGCGAGCGAGAGAGAGCGAGAGAGACCGAGCGAGAGCCAGCGAGAGAGACCGAGCGAGAGAGAGAGAGCAGGGAGGAGAGGAGAAGGGGGAGUGG